RNAcentral lists this microRNA (21 nucleotides) under Ornithorhynchus anatinus (platypus). RNAcentral's name for it is "oan-miR-1419g-3p". The record is from miRBase by way of RNAcentral. Lineage: Eukaryota; Metazoa; Chordata; Mammalia; Monotremata; Ornithorhynchidae.
UGAUGUCAUCACUCAGUACCG